RNAcentral lists this ribosomal RNA (379 nucleotides) under uncultured cyanobacterium. Its description in RNAcentral is "bacterial SSU rRNA". It matches the Rfam family "Bacterial small subunit ribosomal RNA", at positions 376 to 770 of the family's 1533-position model. Lineage: Bacteria; Bacillati; Cyanobacteriota. The record is from RNAcentral.
CGAAAGCCUGACGGAGCAAGACCGCGUGAGGGAGGAAGGCUCUUGGGUUGUAAACCUCUUUUCUCAGGGAAGAAGCUCUGACGGUACCUGAGGAAUCAGCCUCGGCUAACUCCGUGCCAGCAGCCGCGGUAAUACGGAGGAGGCAAGCGUUAUCCGGAAUUAUUGGGCGUAAAGCGUCCGCAGGCGGUUAAUCAAGUCUGCUGUCAAAGUCCAGGGCUCAACUCUGGGUCGGCAGUGGAAACUGGUUAACUUGAGUACGGUAGGGGUAGAGGGAAUUCCCAGUGUAGCGGUGAAAUGCGUAGAUAUUGGGAAGAACACCAGUGGCGAAGGCGCUCUACUGGGCCGUAACUGACGCUGAGGGACGAAAGCUAGGGGAGCG